Molecule: small RNA, 105 nt
Filed under: Escherichia coli
Lineage: Bacteria; Pseudomonadati; Pseudomonadota; Gammaproteobacteria; Enterobacterales; Enterobacteriaceae
Also listed under: 1 other name
Description: partial RtT sRNA
Rfam family: RtT RNA
About the family: This family represents a bacterial cis-regulatory element known as RtT RNA. The exact function of RtT is unknown although it is thought that it may be involved in changing the cellular response in relation to amino acid starvation.
Source: RNAcentral
UUGCAUUUGAAGCCCAUGAGGAUGAGAACCUCCGGGGGCGGGGAGGUUCGACUCGAGCGAAGCGAGAGAACGUUGCGCCAGCAACGGCCCGCAGGGCGAGCCACG